GACGAACGCUGGCGGCGUGCUUAACACAUGCAAGUCGAACGGAAAGGCCUGCUUUCCCUUGUGGAUUGCGGGUACUCGAGUGGCGAACGGGUGAGUAACACGUGAGUGAUCUGCCCCCAACUUGGGUAUAAGCCUGGGAAACUGGGUCUAAUUCCCGAUAGGACUGCAGGGUGGUGCCUGUGGUGGAAAACGAUUUUCUAGUGGUUGGGGAUGAGCUCGCGGCCUAUCAGCUUGUUGGUGGGGUAAUGGCCUACCAAGGCGGCGACGGGUAGCCGGCCUGAGGGGGUGGACGGCCACAUUGGGACUGGGAUACGGCCCAGACUCCUACGGGAGGCAGCAGUGGGGACUAUUGCACAAUGGGCGGAAGCCUGAUGCAGCGACGCCGCGUGGGGGAUGACGGCCUUCGGGUUGUAACCUCCUUUCGACCGCGAGGAAGCCACCUGGUUGGAAGGGUGGUGACGGUAGUGGUAGAAGAAGCACCGGCUAACUACGUG
This 494-nucleotide ribosomal RNA is filed under the name uncultured bacterium. RNAcentral describes it as "partial 16S ribosomal RNA". It matches the Rfam family "Bacterial small subunit ribosomal RNA", at positions 28 to 507 of the family's 1533-position model. The record is from RNAcentral.